Molecule: ribosomal RNA, 525 nt
Filed under: Candida albicans
Lineage: Eukaryota; Fungi; Ascomycota; Pichiomycetes; Serinales; Debaryomycetaceae
Description: eukaryotic LSU rRNA
Rfam family: Eukaryotic large subunit ribosomal RNA
Source: RNAcentral
CGACGAGUCGAGUUGUUUGGGAAUGCAGCUCUAAGUGGGUGGUAAAUUCCAUCUAAAGCUAAAUAUUGGCGAGAGACCGAUAGCGAACAAGUACAGUGAUGGAAAGAUGAAAAGAACUUUGAAAAGAGAGUGAAAAAGUACGUGAAAUUGUUGAAAGGGAAGGGCUUGAGAUCAGACUUGGUAUUUUGCAUGUUGCUCUCUCGGGGGCGGCCGCUGCGGUUUACCGGGCCAGCAUCGGUUUGGAGCGGCAGGAUAAUGGCGGAGGAAUGUGGCACGGCUUCUGCUGUGUGUUAUAGCCUCUGACGAUACUGCCAGCCUAGACCGAGGACUGCGGUUUUUACCUAGGAUGUUGGCAUAAUGAUCUUAAGUCGCCCGUCUUGAAACACGGACCAAGGAGUCUAACGUCUAUGCGAGUGUUUGGGUGUAAAACCCGUACGCGUAAUGAAAGUGAACGAAGGUGGGGGCCCAUUAGGGUGCACCAUCGACCGAUCCUGAUGUGUUCGGAUGGAUUUGAGUAAGAGCAUA